Molecule: unclassified non-coding RNA, 327 nt
Filed under: soil metagenome
Description: partial contains 5.8S ribosomal RNA, internal transcribed spacer 2, and large subunit ribosomal RNA
Rfam family: 5.8S ribosomal RNA (bases 1-120)
Source: RNAcentral
GAUGAAGAACGUAGCGAAAUGCGAUAAGUAAUGUGAAUUGCAGAAUUCAGUGAAUCAUCGAAUCUUUGAACGCACAUUGCGCCCCUUGGUAUUCCGAGGGGCAUGCCUGUUCGAGCGUCAUAUUAACCACUCCCGCUUGCGGGGUCUUGGGCUUCGCCUCCGGGCGGGCCUUAAAAUCAGUGGCGGCGCCAUCUGGCUCUAAGCGUAGUAAUUCUUCUCGCUAUGGAGUCCUGGUGGAUGCUUGCCAUCAACCCCCAAUUUUUCUAUGGUUGACCUCGGAUCAGGUAGGGAUACCCGCUGAACUUAAGCAUAUCAAUAAGCGGAGGA